UAGGGAAUCUUCCGCAAUGGGCGAAAGCCUGACGGAGCAACGCCGCGUGAGUGAUGAAGGUCUUCGGAUCGUAAAACUCUGUUAUUAGGGAAGAACAUAUGUGUAAGUAACUGUGCACAUCUUGACGGUACCUAAUCAGAAAGCCACGGCUAACUACGUGCCAGCAGCCGCGGUAAUACGUAGGUGGCAAGCGUUAUCCGGAAUUAUUGGGCGUAAAGCGCGCGUAGGCGGUUUUUUAAGUCUGAUGUGAAGCCCACGGCUCACCGUGGAGGGUCAUUGGGACUGGAAACUGAGUGCAGAAGAGAAGUGAUUCAUGUGUAGCGUGAAAUGCGCAGAGAUAUGGAGGAACACCCAGUGGCGAAGCGACUUUCUGGUCUUGUAACUGACGCUGAUGUGGCGAAGCGUGGGGGAUCAAACAGAUUANAUNCCCUGGUAGUCCACCGCCGUAAACGAUGAGUGGCUAAGUGGUUAGGGGUUUCCGCCCCUUAGUGCUNGCAGCUAANGCAUUAAGCACUCCCNCCUGGGGANNACGACCGNNAGGUUG
RNAcentral lists this ribosomal RNA (544 nucleotides) under uncultured bacterium. Its description in RNAcentral is "bacterial SSU rRNA". It matches the Rfam family "Bacterial small subunit ribosomal RNA", at positions 355 to 896 of the family's 1533-position model. The record is from RNAcentral.